GUUGUAUGGUUAAGUGACUAAGCGUACACGGUGGAUGCCUUGGCAGUCAGAGGCGAUGAAAGACGUAGUAACUUGCGAUAAGCCCAGAUUAGGUAGUAACAACCAUUUGAGUCUGGGAUUUCUGAAUGGGGAAACCCACGUGCAUAAGCACGUAUCCUUACCUGAAUACAUAGGGUAAGGAGGCGAACCGGGGGAACUGAAACAUCUAAGUACCCCGAGGAAAAGAAAUCAACCGAGAUUCCGAAAGUAGCGGCGAGCGAAAUUGGACUAGCCCUUAAGCUUUACACGCGUUAGACGAACGGUCUGGAAAGUCCGACGAUACAGGGUGAUAGUCCCGUAGUUGACGACGUGUGUUCAGUGAAAUCGAGUAGGGCGGGACACGUGAUAUCCUGUCUGAAUAUGGGGGGACCAUCCUCCAAGGCUAAAUACUACUGACUGACCGAUAGUGAACCAGUACCGUGAGGGAAAGGCGAAAAGAACCCCUGUGAGGGGAGUGAAAUAGAACCUGAAACCGUGUACGUACAAGCAGUAGGAGCAGGCUUUGUCCUGUGACUGCGUACCUUUUGUAUAAUGGGUCAGCGACUUAUAUUCAGUGGCAAGGUUAACCAUCUAGGGGAGCCGUAGGGAAACCGAGUCUUAACUGGGCGUUCAGUCUCUGGAUAUAGACCCGAAACCAGGUGAUCUAGCCAUGGGCAGGUUGAAGGUUGAGUAACAUCAACUGGAGGACCGAACCGACUAAUGUUGAAAAAUUAGCGGAUGACUUGUGGCUAGGGGUGAAAGGCCAAUCAAACCUGGAGAUAGCUGGUUCUCCCCGAAAGCUAUUUAGGUAGCGCCUCGGACGAAUACUACUGGGGGUAGAGCACUGUUAAGGCUAGGGGGUCAUCCCGACUUACCAACCCUUUGCAAACUCCGAAUACCAGUAAGUACUAUCCGGGAGACACACGGCGGGUGCUAACGUCCGUCGUGGAGAGGGAAACAACCCAGACCGCCAGCUAAGGUCCCAAAUUACUACUAAGUGGGAAACGAUGUGGGAAGGCUCAGACAGCCAGGAUGUUGGCUUAGAAGCAGCCAUCAUUUAAAGAAAGCGUAAUAGCUCACUGGUCGAGUCGGCCUGCGCGGAAGAUGUAACGGGGCUAAGUAGUAAACCGAAGCUGCGGCAAUAUACUUUUGUAUAUUGGGUAGGGGAGCGUUCUGUAAGCGGUUGAAGGUGUGUGGUAACGCAUGCUGGACGUAUCAGAAGUGCGAAUGCUGACAUGAGUAACGAUAAAGGGGGUGAAAAACCUCCUCGCCGGAAGACCAAGGGUUCCUGUCCAACGUUAAUCGGGGCAGGGUAAGUCGACCCCUAAGGCGAGGCCGAAAGGCGUAGUCGAUGGGAAACGGGUUAAUAUUCCCGUACUUCUUACAAUUGCGAUGGGGGGACGGAGAAGGCUAGGUGGGCCUGGCGACGGUUGUCCAGGUUCAAGUGCGUAGGCUUAAGAGUUAGGUAAAUCCGGCUCUUUUUAAGGCUGAGACACGACGUCGAGCACCUACGGGUGUGAAGUCAUUGAUGCCAUGCUUCCAGGAAAAGCCUCUAAGCUUCAGAUUGUAAGGAAUCGUACCCCAAACCGACACAGGUGGUCGGGUAGAGAAUACCAAGGCGCUUGAGAGAACUCGGGUGAAGGAACUAGGCAAAAUGGUACCGUAACUUCGGGAGAAGGUAC
Molecule: ribosomal RNA, 1700 nt
Filed under: Vibrio parahaemolyticus
Lineage: Bacteria; Pseudomonadati; Pseudomonadota; Gammaproteobacteria; Vibrionales; Vibrionaceae
Description: partial 23S ribosomal RNA
Rfam family: Bacterial large subunit ribosomal RNA
Source: RNAcentral